GGUGAUAAAACAUAGUCAGGUCCAGUCAUAAGCUGCUCUGAGGAUAAAGCGCUCACUGGGAGAAACCAGCUUUCUAUGCCUGAGAGUACCCAGGGAAUCACACCUCCAACCCAAGCAACAGUACAGACGUUAAUGAGGUAAACAUGCAGGCAGGACUGAGGUGUCCCUGCUGCCCCCUGGUGUUCAAACUACCAUCUACAAAUGAGAGGACGCCGAGAGGGCAGGAAGUGAACCAGCAUUGACGUCCUUCCUGCAGCAGACUCGCUCACAGAACGACUAUUGAACAACCAUCUCCUCCCAGUCUUAAUGUGUCAAAGUGAUGACUGUUCCUCAGGACAUCAGGAAAUAUUACUACAAAUAAAUAAAACAUUUCUUUUUUUUAGAACCACAAAAUCUUUAAUAAGGACGUGCAGAUUCUUCAUGAAUCGGUAAAAAAUGAUUCAAACUUGUCCAAAUGUUCAUCGAUACAGAAAUUAAAAAAUAAAAAGGGGUUGUCUUGAAAUGUGAAGUAGAUGAUUUUUCUUCAUGCAGGCUCGCUGCGAGUGUGCACGCCUGCGAGUGUAUGAGUGUCUGCGGUCGCCUGCGAGUGUACGACUGUACGCAGCCGCCUGCAAGUGUGCGUGCCUCCAAAUGUGUGAGUGUGUGCGGGCGCCUGCAAGGGUACGUGGGCGCGCCUGCGAGUGUGUGUGGGCGCCUAUGAGCGUGCCCAGGCGCCUCUGAGAGUGUGCGUGCCUGAGAGUGCACUCGGGCGCCUGUGAGAGUGCAUGCACGUGAGUGCAAAAGGAUUUGUGAUCAUUUCAGUAUUCUGUAUAAUAGUGUAUUUGUAUUGAAUCAUUUCUGUUAGUAGGAAAACAGACAGUUUGAUGUAAGGGGCGAAAAGAAAACAUACUUGGCCUCAAAAUACCAAAUACCCAUUGAGGUGAGAAAAAAAGAAAAAAAAAAA
Oryzias melastigma (Indian medaka) is the source of this 943-nucleotide long non-coding RNA. RefSeq lists it as uncharacterized. NCBI's taxonomy places the organism in Eukaryota, Metazoa, Chordata, Actinopteri, Beloniformes, Adrianichthyidae. The transcript has 2 exons. The record is from RefSeq and is a predicted model, not a curated record.